GGAGCCCCAGCCCCAGAAGUCCCAGCUGUUCCAAUUCUGUGAUCAGGACAGAACACAGAAAUCUCACCAUGGAGUUUGUGCUGGGCUGGGUUUUCCUGGUUGCUCUUUUAAAAGGUGUCCAGUGUGACGUGCAGCUGGUGGAGUCUGGGGGAGACCUGGUGAAGCCUGGGGGGUCCCUGAGACUCACCUGUGUAGCCUCUGGAUUCACCUUCAGUAGCUAUGAAAUGAACUGGGUCCGCCAGGCUCCAGGGAAGGGGCUGCAGUGGGUCGCAUAUAUUAGUAGUAGUGGAGGUAGCAUAUACUAUGCAGACUCCGUGAAGGGCCGAUUCACCAUCUCCAGAGACAACUCCAAGAACACGCUGUAUCUGCAGAUGAACAACUUGAAGACUGAGGACACGGCCACAUAUUACUGUGCAAGAGACACACACAUCGGAAGUAAAAAUGAGGGGAUUCUUCCUCCCUCUGUAUCAGAUUUCAUUCAGAACCUUAAUGGAAUGGGUGAUGUCCAGGCAGACAAACCAUGGAUGGAAAUCCCAAUCUCUUCUGGAAACACAUCACAGAAAUCCACAGAAACAGUGGUUAAUCUGUGUACCCAUGACACAGUCAAGAUGACACAUAAAGGUAAUCAUGACAAUUUAACCUCCUGUAAAUGUGGAGUUCAAAGACUAAAGAUUUAG
This is a non-coding RNA of Leopardus geoffroyi (Geoffroy's cat), 677 nucleotides long. The record is from the annotation of a RefSeq genome assembly. NCBI's taxonomy places the organism in Eukaryota, Metazoa, Chordata, Mammalia, Carnivora, Felidae.